GACGAACGCUGGCGGCGUGCUUAACACAUGCAAGUCGAACGGUAAGGCCCUUCGGGGUACACGAGUGGCGAACGGGUGAGUAACACGUGGGUGAUCUGCCCUGCACUUCGGGAUAAGCCUGGGAAACUGGGUCUAAUACCGGAUAGGACCCUGGGAUGCAUGUCCUGGGGUGGAAAGCUUUUGCGGUGUGGGAUGGGCCCGCGGCCUAUCAGCUUGUUGGUGGGGUGAUGGCCUACCAAGGCGACGACGGGUAGCCGUCCUGAGAGGGUGACCGGCCACACUGGGACUGAGGUACGGCCAGACUCCUACGGGAGGCAGCAGUGGGGAAUAUUGCACAAUGGGCGCAAGCCUGAUGCAGCGACGCCGCGUGAGGGAUGACGGCCUUCGGGUUGUAAACCUCUUUCAGCACCGACGAAGCGCAAGUGACGGUAGGUGCAGAAGAAGGACCGGCCAACUACGUGCCAGCCGCCGCCGUAA
Molecule: ribosomal RNA, 477 nt
Filed under: uncultured bacterium
Lineage: Bacteria
Description: partial 16S ribosomal RNA
Rfam family: Bacterial small subunit ribosomal RNA
Source: RNAcentral